Paxillus ammoniavirescens is the source of this 94-nucleotide non-coding RNA. NCBI's taxonomy places the organism in Eukaryota, Fungi, Basidiomycota, Agaricomycetes, Boletales, Paxillaceae. The record is from the annotation of a GenBank genome assembly.
GGCUUUGUAGUGUAGCGGUUAUCACUUGAGAUUCUGAUUUGGUCACCUGUUGGCUGAUGUUCUCAAAACCCAGGUUCGAGUCCUGGCAAGGCCU